AACGAACGCUGGCGGCAUGCCUAACACAUGCCAGUCGAACGAUGCUUUCGGGCAUAGUGGCGCACGGGUGCGUAACGCGUGGGAAUCUGCCCUUGGGUUCGGAAUAACAGUGAGAAAUUGCUGCUAAUACCGGAUGAUGUCUUCGGACCAAAGAUUUAUCGCCCAGGGAUGAGCCCGCGUAGGAUUAGCUAGUUGGUGGGGUAAUGGCCUACCAAGGCGACGAUCCUUAGCUGGUCUGAGAGGAUGAUCAGCCACACUGGGACUGAGACACGGCCCAGACUCCUACGGGAGGCAGCAGUGGGGAAUAUGGGACAAUGGGCGCAAGCCUGAUCCGCAAUGCCGCGUGAGUGAUGAAGGCCUUAGGGUUGUAAAGCUCUUUUACCCGGGAUGAUAAUGACAGUACCGGGAGAAUAAGCUCCGGCUAACUCCGUG
This 432-nucleotide ribosomal RNA is filed under the name uncultured bacterium. RNAcentral describes it as "partial 16S ribosomal RNA". It matches the Rfam family "Bacterial small subunit ribosomal RNA", at positions 29 to 507 of the family's 1533-position model. The record is from RNAcentral.